AAGGCCCUCUGCUUCCCACCCUUUUUUUCAGAUGUUAUUGAUGGGCCAUGUUUCAAAUGUUUAAAGUUUGGGGGCACUCUUUGAAGGGCACCUUUUUACUUCAAAGAGUUUCAGUCCCUCGCCUUGCGUGCUGGUAGGCCAAAUAUUUCCCCUGGUGUGCUGUCACUUUGAAGGCACUUCUUGAUGCUCUUUAUGGUUGAGUCUCACUACCGAGGAAGUAAACCACUGCUUACACUUCCAUGGGUCUUUCGAUUAUUCUUCAAUAUUUCCCUCUCUCUGUUCUUGUAAAUAUCUCUAACUAAUAAAAUUGGGUGGCUUGACCUCCCUUUUGCUUAAACAAGAAGUUUCAGAGCACUCUGUUUCAGAUGUUAUCGUUGGUGCAGGUGCUGCUGGCUCU
Molecule: long non-coding RNA, 397 nt
Filed under: Elaeis guineensis (African oil palm)
Lineage: Eukaryota; Viridiplantae; Streptophyta; Magnoliopsida; Arecales; Arecaceae
Description: long non-coding RNA (EGUI_LNC041628)
Source: RNAcentral